Molecule: ribosomal RNA, 666 nt
Filed under: uncultured bacterium
Lineage: Bacteria
Description: bacterial SSU rRNA
Rfam family: Bacterial small subunit ribosomal RNA
Source: RNAcentral
UAACGCGUGGAUAACCUGCCGUAUACCGGGGGAUAACACUUAGAAAUAGGUGCUAAUACCGCAUAAGCGCACGGCUCCGCGUGGGGCAGUGUGAAAAACUCCGGUGGUAUACGAUGGAUCCGCGUCUGAUUAGCUAGUUGGCGGGGUAACGGCCCACCAAGGCAGCGAUCAGUAGCCGGCCUGAGAGGGUGGACGGCCACAUUGGGACUGAGACACGGCCCAAACUCCUACGGGAGGCAGCAGUGGGGAAUAUUGCACAAUGGGGGAAACCCUGAUGCAGCGACGCCGCGUGAGUGAAGAAGUAUCUCGGUACGUAAAGCUCUAUCAGCAGGGAAGAAAAUGACGGUACCUGACCAAGAAGCCCCGGCUAACUACGUGCCAGCAGCCGCGGUAAUACGUAGGGGGCAAGCGUUAUCCGGAUUUACUGGGUGUAAAGGGAGCGUAGACGGCAGCACAAGUCUGGAGUGAAAUCCCGGGGCUUAACCCCGGAACUGCUUUGGAAACUGUGCGGCUGGAGUGCAGGAGGGGUAAGCGGAAUUCCUAGUGUAGCGGUGAUAUGCGUAGAUAUUANGAGGAACACCGGUGGCGAAGGCGGCUUACUGGACUGUAACUGACGUUGAGGCUCGAAAGCGUGGGGAGCAAAACAGGAUUAGAUACCCUGGUAGU